UAUAGGAGUGAUGACUUGGUAAAAUUAAUGAACUCAACAAUAGCAAAGAAGAUUCCAAUCUCAUUUUCUAUG
Molecule: small RNA, 72 nt
Filed under: Salix viminalis (osier)
Lineage: Eukaryota; Viridiplantae; Streptophyta; Magnoliopsida; Malpighiales; Salicaceae
Source: RNAcentral